This 497-nucleotide ribosomal RNA is filed under the name uncultured bacterium. RNAcentral's name for it is "partial 16S ribosomal RNA". It matches the Rfam family "Bacterial small subunit ribosomal RNA", at positions 28 to 507 of the family's 1533-position model. The record is from RNAcentral.
GAUGAACGCUGGCGGCGUGCCUAAUACAUGCAAGUCGAGCGAACAGACGAGGAGCUUGCUCCUCUGACGUUAGCGGCGGACGGGUGAAUAACACGUGGAUAACCUACCUAUAAGACUGGGAUAACUUCGGGAAACCGGAGCUAAUACCGGAUAAUAUAUUGAACCGCAUGGUUCAAUAGUGAAAGACGGUUUUGCUGUCACUUAUAGAUGGAUCCGCGCCGCAUUAGCUGGUUGGUAAGGUAACGGCUUACCAAGGCAACGAUGCGUAGCCGACCUGAGAGGGUGAUCGGCCACACUGGAACUGAGACACGGUCCAGACUCCUACGGGAGGCAGCAGUAGGGAAUCUUCCGCAAUGGGCGAAAGCCUGACGGAGCAACGCCGCGUGAGUGAUGAAGGUCUUCGGAUCGUAAAACUCUGUUAUUAGGGAAGAACAAAUGUGUAAGUAACUAUGCACGUCUUGACGGUACCUAAUCAGAAAGCCACGGCUAACUACGUG